GUUCCCGUAGCUCAAUCGGUAGAGCGCUGGUCUCCAAAACCAGAGGCUGCAGACUCGGUCCCUGCCGGGAAUGCCA
Molecule: transfer RNA, 76 nt
Filed under: Caudoviricetes sp.
Lineage: Duplodnaviria; Heunggongvirae; Uroviricota; Caudoviricetes
Description: tRNA-Trp
Rfam family: tRNA
About the family: Transfer RNA (tRNA) molecules are approximately 80 nucleotides in length. Their secondary structure includes four short double-helical elements and three loops (D, anti-codon, and T loops).
Source: RNAcentral